Molecule: ribosomal RNA, 429 nt
Filed under: Chloroflexota bacterium
Lineage: Bacteria; Bacillati; Chloroflexota
Description: Chloroflexi bacterium partial 16S ribosomal RNA
Rfam family: Bacterial small subunit ribosomal RNA
Source: RNAcentral
UGGGGAAUAUUGCACAAUGGGCGCAAGCCUGAUGCAGCCAUGCCGCGUGUGUGAAGAAGGCCUUCGGGUUGUAAAGCACUUUCAGCGGGGAGGAAGGCGUUCAGGUUAAUAACCUUGGCGAUUGACGUUACCCGCAGAAGAAGCACCGGCUAACUCCGUGCCAGCAGCCGCGGUAAUACGGAGGGUGCAAGCGUUAAUCGGAAUUACUGGGCGUAAAGCGCACGCAGGCGGUCUGUCAAGUCGGAUGUGAAAUCCCCGGGCUCAACCUGGGAACUGCAUUCGAAACUGGCAGGCUAGAGUCUUGUAGAGGGGGGUAGAAUUCCAGGUGUAGCGGUGAAAUGCGUAGAGAUCUGGAGGAAUACCGGUGGCGAAGGCGGCCCCCUGGACAAAGACUGACGCUCAGGUGCGAAAGCGUGGGGAGCAAACAGG